GACGAACGCUGGCGGCGUGCCUAAUACAUGCAAGUAGAACGCACAGUUUAUACCGUAGCUUGCUCCACCAUAAACUGUGAGUUGCGAACGGGUGAGUAACGCGUAGGUAACCUGCCUGGUAGCGGGGGAUAACUAUUGGAAACGAUAGCUAAUACCGCAUAAUAUUAAUUAUUGCAUGAUAAUUGAUUGAAAGAUGCAAUUGCAUCACUACCAGAUGGACCUGCGUUGUAUUAGCUAGUAGGUGAGGUAACGGCUCACCUAGGCGACGAUACAUAGCCGACCUGAGAGGGUGAUCGGCCACACUGGGACUGAGACACGGCCCAGACUCCUACGGGAGGCAGCAGUAGGGAAUCUUCGGCAAUGGACGAAAGUCUGACCGAGCAACGCCGCGUGAGUGAAGAAGGUUUUCGGAUCGUAAAGCUCUGUUGUAAGAGAAGAACGGGUGUGAGAGUGGAAAGUUCACACUGUGACGGUAUCUUACCAGAAAGGGACGGCUAACUACGUG
Molecule: ribosomal RNA, 505 nt
Filed under: uncultured bacterium
Lineage: Bacteria
Description: partial 16S ribosomal RNA
Rfam family: Bacterial small subunit ribosomal RNA
Source: RNAcentral